RNAcentral lists this ribosomal RNA (253 nucleotides) under uncultured bacterium. Its description in RNAcentral is "partial 16S ribosomal RNA". It matches the Rfam family "Bacterial small subunit ribosomal RNA", at positions 524 to 776 of the family's 1533-position model. The record is from RNAcentral.
UACGGAGGGGGCAAGCGUUAUUCGGAAUUAUUGGGCGUAAAGGGCGCGUAGGCGGCUAGAUGUGUCAAAGGUGAAAUCCCUCGGCUCAACUGAGGAACUGCCUUUGAAACUGUCUGGCUUGAGGCCGGGAGAGGGUAGCGGAAUUCCCAGUGUAGCGGUGAAAUGCGUAGAUAUUGGGAGGAACACCGGUGGCGAAGGCGGCCACCUGGACGGUAACUGACGCUGAGACGCGAAAGCGUGGGGAGCAAACAGG